RNAcentral lists this ribosomal RNA (716 nucleotides) under Escherichia coli. Its description in RNAcentral is "partial 23S ribosomal RNA". It matches the Rfam family "Bacterial large subunit ribosomal RNA", at positions 1201 to 1918 of the family's 2925-position model. The record is from RNAcentral. Lineage: Bacteria; Pseudomonadati; Pseudomonadota; Gammaproteobacteria; Enterobacterales; Enterobacteriaceae.
UGUGGAUUGUCCUUUGGACAAUGGUAGGAGAGCGUUCUAAGGGCGUUGAAGCAUGAUCGCAAGGACAUGUGGAGCGCUUAGAAGUGAGAAUGCCGGUGUGAGUAGCGAAAGACGGGUGAGAAUCCCGUCCACCGAUUGACUAAGGUUUCCAGAGGAAGGCUCGUCCGCUCUGGGUUAGUCGGGUCCUAAGCUGAGGCCGACAGGCGUAGGCGAUGGAUAACAGGUUGAUAUUCCUGUACCACCUAUAAUCGUUUUAAUCGAUGGGGGGACGCAGUAGGAUAGGCGAAGCGUACGAUUGGAUUGUACGUCUAAGCAGUGAGAUUGAGUGUUAGGCAAAUCCGGCACUCUUAAGAUUGAGCUGUGAUGGGGAGAGGAAAUUGUUUCCUCGAGUCGUUGAUUUCACACUGCCGAGAAAAGCCUCUAGAUAGAGAUUAGGUGCCCGUACCGCAAACCGACACAGGUAGUCAAGAUGAGAAUUCUAAGGUGAGCGAGCGAACUCUCGUUAAGGAACUCGGCAAAAUGACCCCGUAACUUCGGGAGAAGGGGUGCUCUUUAGGGUGCAAGCCCAGAAGAGCCGCAGUGAAUAGGCCCAAGCGACUGUUUAUCAAAAACACAGGUCUCUGCUAAACCGUAAGGUGAUGUAUAGGGGCUGACGCCUGCCCGGUGCUGGAAGGUUAAGAGGAGUGGUUAGCUUCUGCGAAGCUACGAAUCGAAGC